UACGAAGGGGGCUAGCGUUGUUCGGAAUUACUGGGCGUAAAGCGCACGCAGGCGGCGCGAUAAAUUAGAAGUGAAAGCCCCGGGCUUAACCUGGGAAUUGCUUUUAAGACUGUCGCGCUAGAAUCCAGAAGAGGGUAGUGGAAUUCCGAGUGUAGAGGUGAAAUUCGUAGAUAUUCGGAAGAACACCAGUGGCGAAGGCGACUACCUGGUCUGGCAUUGACGCUCAUGUGCGAAAGCGUGGGGAGCAAACAGG
This 253-nucleotide ribosomal RNA is filed under the name uncultured Magnetospirillum sp. RNAcentral describes it as "partial 16S ribosomal RNA". It matches the Rfam family "Bacterial small subunit ribosomal RNA", at positions 524 to 776 of the family's 1533-position model. Lineage: Bacteria; Pseudomonadati; Pseudomonadota; Alphaproteobacteria; Rhodospirillales; Rhodospirillaceae. The record is from RNAcentral.